GAGUUUGAUCCUGGCUCAGAUUGAACGCUGGCGGCAUGCCUUACACAUGCAAGUCGAACGGCAGCAUGAUCUAGCUUGCUAGAUUGAUGGCGAGUGGCGAACGGGUGAGUAAUACAUCGGAACGUGCCCUGUAGUGGGGGAUAACUAGUCGAAAGAUUAGCUAAUACCGCAUACGACCUGAGGGUGAAAGUGAGGGACCGCAAGGCCUCAUGCUAUAGGAGCGGCCGAUGUCUGAUUAGCUAGUUGGUGGGGUAAAGGCCCACCAAGGCGACGAUCAGUAGCUGGUCUGAGAGGACGAUCAGCCACACUGGGACUGAGACACGGCCCAGACUCCUACGGGAGGCAGCAGUGGGGAAUUUUGGACAAUGGGCGAAAGCCUGAUCCAGCAAUGCCGCGUGUGUGAAGAAGGCCUCGGUUGUAAG
Molecule: ribosomal RNA, 422 nt
Filed under: uncultured microorganism
Description: bacterial SSU rRNA
Rfam family: Bacterial small subunit ribosomal RNA
Source: RNAcentral